UCAAUGGUAGUGCUGGCUGGGCUGCCGAAAGGCAGGCCGGUUCCCUUUGACGCCGGUAGUUCCAACCCAGUCAGUGCUACCGCCA
RNAcentral lists this non-coding RNA (85 nucleotides) under Enterobacter hormaechei. Lineage: Bacteria; Pseudomonadati; Pseudomonadota; Gammaproteobacteria; Enterobacterales; Enterobacteriaceae. The record is from RNAcentral.